GAGUACGGGUUAGGUUUAGGGUUAAGGUUAGGAUAAGAGUACGGGUUAGGUUUAGGGUUAAGGUUAGGGUAAUAGUACAGGUUAGGUUUAGGGUUAAGGUUAGGAUAAGAGUACGGGUUAGGUUUAGGGUUAAGGUUAGGAUAAGAGUACGGGUUAGGUUUAGGGUUAAGGUUAGGGUAAUAGUACAGGUUAGGUUUAGGGUUUAAGGUUAGGAUAAGAGUACGGGUUAGGUUUAGGGUUAAGGUUAGGAUAAGAGUACGGGUUAGGUUUAGGGUUAGGGGUUCGAAAAAAUAUGAUUUUGAAUGGGACUGAAUUGUGUGUCCCCACAAGGUUAGCUGUAC
RNAcentral lists this long non-coding RNA (341 nucleotides) under Salmo salar (Atlantic salmon). Its description in RNAcentral is "lncRNA (ENSSSAG00000084241.1)". Lineage: Eukaryota; Metazoa; Chordata; Actinopteri; Salmoniformes; Salmonidae. The record is from RNAcentral.